This 432-nucleotide long non-coding RNA is filed under the name Elaeis guineensis (African oil palm). RNAcentral describes it as "long non-coding RNA (EGUI_LNC024781)". Lineage: Eukaryota; Viridiplantae; Streptophyta; Magnoliopsida; Arecales; Arecaceae. The record is from RNAcentral.
CCCAGCUAUGGGCUACUGCUCGCCUCCAAGGCUGACCACCCACUAUCCUCCAAAUCAACCUCGCUCUUGAAUAGUACAGGAGGACAUGCUCCAUCGACUCAUCCUCCAACCUACAAACCAAACAAGAAACAAAAAGUUCCAUACCCCGAUCCCUGAGUAGCACACGCAUCGGAAGUUGAUAACCAGCAACCUUCUAAAAAAAAAGCCUCACCCUGGGAUAAGCAGACACUCUCUAGAUCCAAGCAGUCUUGAUCCUCCUAUCUGAUGCAGACCUGCACAUCUCGAAAAAGAUCCUCAUAGGAGCCUUUGAAUAACACGAUUGGCCCCACACCCUCAAGUCCUAGCUUCAAUAGGUGGAAAUCAGAAUGGUAAGAAUCCGAUUAGCGAGCUGACCAUCAAAAAGAUGGAUGAUAUCAUGUACUCUCUAAUCAC